Molecule: non-coding RNA, 107 nt
Organism: Gossypium hirsutum (cotton)
Lineage: Eukaryota; Viridiplantae; Streptophyta; Magnoliopsida; Malvales; Malvaceae
Source: Rfam
GUGCCGUGAUAAGGGAACUUUCAUAAUAACUCCUUUAACCGCUCUCAUGCCUCAUAUAAAGAUUCUUCAUCAAGUUGCUAAAAUAAAGUGAUUUCAUUUCAGAUCUU